RNAcentral lists this ribosomal RNA (916 nucleotides) under Staphylococcus arlettae. Its description in RNAcentral is "bacterial SSU rRNA". It matches the Rfam family "Bacterial small subunit ribosomal RNA", at positions 57 to 955 of the family's 1533-position model. The record is from RNAcentral. Lineage: Bacteria; Bacillati; Bacillota; Bacilli; Caryophanales; Staphylococcaceae.
GCAGUCGAGCGAACAGAUAAGGAGCUUGCUCCUUUGACGUUAGCGGCGGACGGGUGAGUAACACGUGGGUAACCUACCUAUAAGACUGGAAUAACUCCGGGAAACCGGGGCUAAUGCCGGAUAACAUUUAGAACCGCAUGGUUCUAAAGUGAAAGAUGGUUUUGCUAUCACUUAUAGAUGGACCCGCGCCGUAUUAGCUAGUUGGUAAGGUAAUGGCUUACCAAGGCAACGAUACGUAGCCGACCUGAGAGGGUGAUCGGCCACACUGGAACUGAGACACGGUCCAGACUCCUACGGGAGGCAGCAGUAGGGAAUCUUCCGCAAUGGGCGAAAGCCUGACGGAGCAACGCCGCGUGAGUGAUGAAGGGUUUCGGCUCGUAAAACUCUGUUAUUAGGGAAGAACAAACGUGUAAGUAACUGUGCACGUCUUGACGGUACCUAAUCAGAAAGCCACGGCUAACUACGUGCCAGCAGCCGCGGUAAUACGUAGGUGGCAAGCGUUAUCCGGAAUUAUUGGGCGUAAAGCGCGCGUAGGCGGUUUCUUAAGUCUGAUGUGAAAGCCCACGGCUCAACCGUGGAGGGUCAUUGGAAACUGGGAGACUUGAGUGCAGAAGAGGAAAGUGGAAUUCCAUGUGUAGCGGUGAAAUGCGCAGAGAUAUGGAGGAACACCAGUGGCGAAGGCGACUUUCUGGUCUGUAACUGACGCUGAUGUGCGAAAGCGUGGGGAUCAAACAGGAUUAGAUACCCUGGUAGUCCACGCCGUAAACGAUGAGUGCUAAGUGUUAGGGGGUUUCCGCCCCUUAGUGCUGCAGCUAACGCAUUAAGCACUCCGCCUGGGGAGUACGACCGCAAGGUUGAAACUCAAAGGAAUUGACGGGGACCCGCACAAGCGGUGGAGCAUGUGGUUUAAUUCGAA